UACGAAGGGGGCUAGCGUUGCUCGGAAUCACUGGGCGUAAAGGGUGCGUAGGCGGGUCUUUAAGUCAGGGGUGAAAUCCUGGAGCUCAACUCCAGAACUGCCUUUGAUACUGGGAAGCUUGAGUCCGGGAGAGGUGAGUGGAACUGCGAGUGUAGAGGUGAAAUUCGUAGAUAUUCGCAAGAACACCAGUGGCGAAGGCGGCUCACUGGCCCGGUACUGACGCUGAGGUGCGAAAGCGUGGGGAGCAAACAGG
This 253-nucleotide ribosomal RNA is filed under the name uncultured bacterium. RNAcentral's name for it is "partial 16S ribosomal RNA". It matches the Rfam family "Bacterial small subunit ribosomal RNA", at positions 524 to 776 of the family's 1533-position model. The record is from RNAcentral.